RNAcentral lists this unclassified non-coding RNA (294 nucleotides) under uncultured Cortinarius. Its description in RNAcentral is "sequence contains ITS2". The stretch from base 1 to 52 matches the Rfam family "5.8S ribosomal RNA", at positions 103 to 154 of the family's 154-position model. Lineage: Eukaryota; Fungi; Basidiomycota; Agaricomycetes; Agaricales; Cortinariaceae. The record is from RNAcentral.
AACGCACCUUGCGCUCCUUGGUAUUCCGAGGAGCAUGCCUGUUUGAGUGUCAUUAAUAUAUCAACCUCUUCAGCUUUUGCUUGUUGAGCGUUGGAUGUGGGGGUCUUUUUUUGCUGGUCUUUCCAAGGUCAGCUCCCCUGAAAUGCAUUAGCGGAACAAUUUGUGGACCGUUCAUUGGUGUGAUAACUAUCUACGCUAUUGACGUGAAGCAGUUCAGCUUAUAACAGUCCAUUCACUUGGACAAAUUUUCAUUAAUGUGACCUCAAAUCAGGUAGGACUACCCGCUGAACUUAA